GAUGAAGAACGCAGCGAAAUGCGAUAAGUAAUGCGAAUUGCAGAAUUCAGUGAGUCAUCGAAUCUUUGAACGCACAUUGCACCCUGUGGUAUUCCGCAGGGCAUGCCUGUUCGAGCGUCAUUUCAACCCUCAAGCCCCGCUUGGUGUUGGGCCCCGCCCGCUGUGGCCGGCCCUAAAGACAGUGGCGGCGCCGCCUGGCCCUCAGCGUAGUACAUCUCUCGCUCCAGGGUCCGGUGGCCGCCUGCCAGAACCCCCCAACUCUGUGGUUGACCUCGGAUCAGGUAGGGAUACCCGCUGAACUUAAGCAUAUCAAUAAGCGGAGGA
RNAcentral lists this unclassified non-coding RNA (324 nucleotides) under soil metagenome. RNAcentral's name for it is "partial contains 5.8S ribosomal RNA, internal transcribed spacer 2, and large subunit ribosomal RNA". The stretch from base 1 to 120 matches the Rfam family "5.8S ribosomal RNA", at positions 35 to 154 of the family's 154-position model. The record is from RNAcentral.